AUUGAACGCUGGCGGCAUGCCUUACACAUGCAAGUCGAACGGCAGCACGGGAGCAAUCCUGGUGGCGAGUGGCGAACGGGUGAGUAAUAUAUCGGAACGUGCCCGGUCGUGGGGGAUAACGUAGCGAAAGCUACGCUAAUACCGCAUACGAUCUACGGAUGAAAGCGGGGGAUCGCAAGACCUCGCGCGAUUGGAGCGGCCGAUAUCAGAUUAGGUAGUUGGUGAGGUAAAGGCUCACCAAGCCGACGAUCUGUAGCUGGUCUGAGAGGACGACCAGCCACACUGGGACUGAGACACGGCCCAGACUCCUACGGGAGGCAGCAGUGGGGAAUUUUGGACAAUGGGCGCAAGCCUGAUCCAGCAAUGCCGCGUGCAGGAUGAAGGCCUUCGGUUGUAAACUGCUUUGUACGGAACGAACGGUAGAGCUCUAAUACAGUUG
This 439-nucleotide ribosomal RNA is filed under the name uncultured bacterium. RNAcentral's name for it is "bacterial SSU rRNA". It matches the Rfam family "Bacterial small subunit ribosomal RNA", at positions 30 to 471 of the family's 1533-position model. The record is from RNAcentral.